Molecule: long non-coding RNA, 905 nt
Organism: Exaiptasia diaphana
Lineage: Eukaryota; Metazoa; Cnidaria; Anthozoa; Actiniaria; Aiptasiidae
Exons: 5
Source: RefSeq, a predicted model, not a curated record
GURGUCGUUCUAAAUUCACCGGACGGUGCAGAUAUCGGAGGGAGUGGACGAGAGUGAGGUCCAACGUAUGARAUGGGCAGUGGUUUGGAGGGGCUCUCAAGCAUGAGGAUAUCGCGCUUACGUGGUACUGGAGCUGAAAGGACAGRAUAGGUGGAUCACCCUUGAAAGCUGUAGUCARAGGAUUUCCCCAGAUGACCAACUCUUUCAGCUUUGGCCAUCCCAUUACAGCUAACAGACCUUCUUCCUCAUAAAUCAUGUUGUUGGAGAGAUUAAGAUGGAGUAGAGAAGGAAAUGGUUUGGGUGGCUUAAACUUGUCAUCUGGAAAACAAAAAUAUASGAAACAGGGAGUUUCAUUCCAAGCAAUUCAUCAACUUCAUCCAUAAUCAGCCCUUCUUUGUCGUCCUGAUUCAUUCCUUUUUCUUCUUCCUCUGUCCCAUUUUCAUCUGAUGGUAGCUCUGUUGAUGUGAAUUGCACUGAGCUGUGUUUUGCAGCCAACUCAUCUUCCUUUGGACGCACUCUUCCCCCAAGAAGACGGAGAUGAGUUCCAGACCUAAAGUACAUAAACAAAAUGAUACAAGUGACUUGUCAAUUGAAUUUGUCAGAGGGUUGAUAAUCAAGUCUUAAUCAGUAAGGUGAUGGUAGGCAAACUGAAGUGGUCAGAGGAUUAGUCUUUUUGUCAAAUGCAAGGUCUUAAGACAUGGRAUGACUCCCAAGGCAAGGAUAUCAUCAGAUGUGAGCCUAUUAUAGGACAAAUCAAGCUUCUCCAGAAGGAGGAAAUCAUGUGGACCUACAUUGACUCCUCCUGAUACAUGAUUGAGAGGAAAUUCAAGCUCUCGCAGUGACAUGAAGUUCCUGAAAGCAUCUAAAGUUUCAACAGAUAAUAGCAUUAUUACAUUAUUAAUCAU